RNAcentral lists this transfer-messenger RNA (376 nucleotides) under Actinomycetota bacterium. It matches the Rfam family "transfer-messenger RNA". From Rfam's summary of the family: Bacterial tmRNA, also known as 10Sa RNA or SsrA, is named for its dual tRNA and mRNA-like properties. Lineage: Bacteria; Bacillati; Actinomycetota. The record is from RNAcentral.
GGGGGUGAAUGGUCUCGACUUCGGCCGUCGAGAUGAGGGGAAGCGGGCCGAGGACCGCAUUGCUGACCUCGUUAAAAAAGCGAUGCAACAAAAAAUAAGCGCCGAUUCCAAUCGCGCUGACUUCGUUCUCGCUGCCUAAACAGCGAAACGAGUCUGUCAGCCCGGGUUCGUCACCGGCCCGGAUGCUGGCAUCAGCUAGGUGACUUACCGUCCUGGCCGGUCGCGGGGCAGGACGGGACAACUCACAGCGACUGGGCCUGUCACACCGACUUGUGUGCAUGAUCGGUGGGGCCGAGUAGAGACACCGCACACUGCGCCCGGAGAAGACCCAUCAAAGCGACGAAGGACCCGGGUUCGAUUCCCGGCACCUCCACAC